UCCUCUGAUCCGAUGUCUGCCUCUCAGCUGGCCGAGAAGGCCAGCAGGGCUGGCUCCGGCCCUGGCCGGCAGCGCGGCCCCGACCCCCGGGAGCCCCUAGUGUCCAGGGCGCAGCCCCCAUUGCGCGUUCCUGGCGCUGCUCACUGGGCCAGGCAGAGAGCGCCCAGUCCAAAAUACAGGUCAGUGUAAAGUGUAGCUGACAGAAUGAAGACUGGUAAAUUCUGAAUUUUUCCAUAAUGCAUCAGGUAAGGAAAACUGUUCAGCCCUUCAGAAGUGCGCUUUGCUCCCUAUUUCUCUGUCUUCAAGAAUCUUCAUAAAUCUGUUUGGUUUUUAGAGAUGCAGCAGAACUAAAUUUCUUCUUGGAGAUGUUGAAAAACCAGUUAAGUACCAUAUACUUAUUUUCUUUUAAAAUGUAAAUGGCAUGAGAAGUGAACUUGUAGCUUCUGUCUUAUGUUUAAAUAAAGGUGUGAAGGAAGUCCCUGUUUAGGGAAAAAUUCUGGAUAUAAAUCUAUUUCAUGUUGCAAUUAUAGGAAAAUGUCAGUUUAAUCUUGUAAAUACUUAUGCUAAUUUUACUGAGAGAAUUCAUUCUAAGGAGAAGUACCAAUCGUGUGUGAUUCAGUAGUGCUUAGAUGAUAAUCCAGCAUCUCUAUGGAUUAUUUUAUAUACAAAAUGGGGAGUGCCUAAGAUCCAGAAUCUAAAUCCUUUAUUUAGCAGGAAAGGAGGCAGAAAAUUUUAGACCAAACUGGUUUUUAAGGCAUUUUUACGGUGGGGAGGGAAAGUGGAAUGGAGGCUAAGCAGUGCACUGCUGUUUUUCUGCCUCUCUCUCUCAAAUGAAUGGCUAUAGAUAACAAAGGUAUAUGCAUAAAGCGGUACAUAAAUAUACAUUUGAAUGACUUCACAUGCCUUGUCAUCUCUGUGUGGGUAUCUGUGCACACAAACAGACAAGGUGUGCACAAAUGCAAGUGCUGAGCAGAGAUAUUAGGGGCUUUUUCCUCAUUGGGGGAUUUAUGUUUCUGGGUCUGUUUUAAGCCAUUUCUUUGAAAAUAUAACAUAGCAAUGUUGUUUUAAUGAACAAGAUGUAGAUGGUGAAUCUGAGUAUGAAUCUGUUCCCCUACGGUUUUCAGAAUAUGGGAUUGUAGAUAUUAUUUGAUCCAAGGGUUAAAUAUGCAAUGGACCAAUGUCAGGGGGAGAGGGGGGGUGUGCUAGUAUAUUUCUCUUAGAGCAUAGCUUUGGACCCUAGGAAUCUCCCCAACAGGGUGACUGGGGACACAGUAAAAAGGAGGGGGCGUUGAAACUCAGUGUGGAGUCAGGGGAGGUCGAUAGGACGAGCCUCUGAAGAUCCAGCUCACGAUGUAAGAGAAGGGUUGGAGGGUGAAGAAUGUUCGGUCUCCUUUUAAAUGUGUAUUGUUAUUCUAAGUCUAUUGUAUGUACGUGUUGCCGUCGUUUCAUUUGCCACGACAACAUAUGGAUUCCAUAAAUACAGACAUGCCGAAGUGCAUCUGUCUGAGUAGUUAACACGAUCCAAACAUCCCUCCUCAUUCCGCUAACUCCGCUCUUCCUUGGGAUUCCUGGCAGUGCUUGUGCCCAAGAUCCCAGCAUCCCUUAAUCUCACCCUUUUGUGAGACUACCUUUUGUGGUCUCUGCACCGUAUUCAAGGUGCAAAGCUAUGGAAGCGGACUGCUAGCAGCAAUUCAGCAGUAAAGUCUCUGCCAAAGGACACGGGGCCUCUGGGCUAACGGGGAGGAAAGGGUUAAGCUGCCAGAGCCCAAGGAAGGGGCUGUGCUCAUCCCAGAGCGAGGUGCAGCCACCGGCAGCUGUGAUUUAGGGGUCAAGUCCGAGAUCACCUUUCUCCUGCCUCUGGAAAUGGCAGAAGAUGGGGAAGGGGGUGGGGGUGGGGGUGGGGGCUGGAAACACAGGAGAGAACAGCAACCAGGCACAAGCACAUGGCGUUCCAUCCGUUCCCUCGCCUGGUCUCAGUCCCCCUCCUGACACACACCCCCUCCCCUAGACAAACUGGACAGAUCCCUUUCACUUCUAGGGCAGUGGGAUAUUCUGAGUAUCCCAAGUUUCUCUCUCAGUAGCUCUGUCCCUACCAUGAAACCUCUGUGUACUGGAGUUCUAAGUACCGAUUCUGAAAGUUUAGCCUUAGAGCGGCAGGGAAUAAGAAGCCAAUGUAGGUCAAAACUUCCUUCUCCUUUGCAGACGACUGGGAUGCCCCUAGCAGGAAGAAGUUUGAACAUGGCCCUCUCUGCCCCAGACUCAAGUCAUACAUCCACUCCUACAGUCCUGAGUGGGUGGACACCCGUGGGGUCUGUUACACGCAGCUUCUUGCUUUGUGCCUACAUUUUUGGUCAAAAAAUUUUCCCUCCCAUCUCACGAAGCCCCCAGAACACUUUUCAUCCAAAAUAUUUUUUAAGCCUGAAAGAUGACCCUAAGCCAAAUUCAGAUUUGUUCCUAAGUCAUUUCACUAGAAAAGAGCAAAAUGUCAAAGUCUUCUGCGUUGGCAUAAAGGUAGCAUGUGGAGUCUUAGUACCCAGGUCUUGUGAGUUCUGGGGGUGCCCAGGGGGUCGGGGGAGGGGGCUGCAGCUGGUGUCCAUAGGGCGGGUGUUAGCCAAGAAUGAGCUUCCCAAAUCCUCCCCCAGGAGGCUGGCCAGUUAGGAAACUGAGAGAAGCAUAGUUCUUUCCGAAAGUUACAAUAAGAAAAAAAUAUUGUGAGGGGUGUGUGUGUGUGUGUGUGUGUGUGUGUGUGUGUGUGUAAAAGACCUGGCUCAGACUGACAGGAAGACCCUGGUCUCUGGAGGAGAGGAGACAAGUGGAAGAUACAGGAAUGAGGAAGUGAUAGAAGUUUAAAACAAGACGAUCUCCCAUUCUCUCCCGGGUCUCCCUCAGAGGUGAAGGCAAAUCACCCUGAUCCAACCUGUGCUUCCAGGGCCAAGGGCCGCCCAGCUGAUCCAAAGGCAGCUAAGGUCUGUCUUUUCCAGUCUGUUUGGCCCUAACCUUGCCAGAGCCUCCAGACCUCGGAGAUCAAACCAAAUUGGCUGCUGGAAUUUAAGAGGUUUCAGCCCUGGAGCAAGGAGGAGGGGACAAUCUCCCCUCCCCCCAACCCCCUUUAACUCCCAAUUCAAGAGACACCACAAGCCACAUUUGAGUGUCAUCCCCAGUCGUGGAUUAUGGGUAUAGCUCAUUCUUUCUUCCUAUUUCUCAGAAGUAAAAACCUUAAAAAAUUAGUCCCAAACUUAGAGUGCCGGAGUCCUUGAAAUAGUUCCUAAUGAUAAAACCUGCCUUCAUUUUCAGUACCUAUCAGAUUGUGAAAAAUGCAGGGGUAACGUUGGAUUCCCCAUUUCCCUCCAUUCCUUUGUAACAAAAAUCUAGGGGGUGGUGGUGGGGAGGCAGGAGGAGUGGAGUCCGUUCGUGGCUCUCCUGGGUUCUGCACCACCACCACACGCUAGAUUCCCUUUUGGUGACCCGGUACCAGAAGUCUGCAUGGAACCAAAACCCGGAGGCGGGCUCGAGGAGGAGACAGAACUAACCUCAUCACAACUCAACAAAGUGAACAACUGCAAGACAGACACCCUUGGUUGGACAACGUGCGCUUUAGGAAUUCCCAAGAGCAUAUAACUUGGGGAAUGAUAGAAGCUUCUUGCCUACCCGCCACAGCCUAAAGAAAAGGAAGCCAUGAGAAGAGCCGGCCGGGAUCUGUUGGAGGUGGGGGGUCUAGGGAGCAGAGCUGUGAGCUCUAUCAGGGGUGGCCUGGGGAGAGGAUGCCCAUGGUGGCACGUGCAUUGUUGACAGGCAAGCAUGUGUUAAUGGAGGGAUGAGUGGCCGAGCAAUCCCCCAAUGCUUGCAUUUCUUGCAGGCAUGGCUUGUUUAAUGAUGAGGGAAUUGAAUGACGCACACACGCGUGCAUGUGCACACACACACACACACACAUCCUUUUUGCCGUGGCUGAGAAAUGUAAAAAGAAACCUAUAUUAUAUAUCUAUAUAUGUUCAGAAAAAAGUAUGCAUUUUUCCUUGAGAAAUAGCCAAUGCCAUAAUAUCUUUGAUUUGAGGGGCGAGGGAAUUUUUGAAGUAAAGGAAAUCAGUGGGGGACGAA
Non-coding RNA from Rattus norvegicus (Norway rat), 4095 nucleotides. Lineage: Eukaryota; Metazoa; Chordata; Mammalia; Rodentia; Muridae. The record is from RefSeq and is a predicted model, not a curated record.